RNAcentral lists this unclassified non-coding RNA (395 nucleotides) under soil metagenome. Its description in RNAcentral is "partial contains 5.8S ribosomal RNA, internal transcribed spacer 2, and large subunit ribosomal RNA". The stretch from base 1 to 120 matches the Rfam family "5.8S ribosomal RNA", at positions 35 to 154 of the family's 154-position model. The record is from RNAcentral.
GAUGAAGAACGUAGCGAAAUGCGAUAAUUAAUGUGAAUUGCAGAAUUCCGUGAAUCAUCGAAUCUUUGAACGCACCUUGCGCCUUUUGGUAUUCCGAAAGGCACACCUGUUUGAGCGUCAUGAAUACCUCAAUCUCCAUCUUUUCUUCGGAUUGAUGGGUGACUUGGAUGUUGAGCCCUGCUGGUAUGCUAUAUCAGCUGGCUUUAAACUUAUUAGCCGGCUCUGUACUGGAUCGGUUUGACUCGACGUGAUAAUAUUAUCGUUGAGGAUGCAUGUCUCAUGCAGCCGGAAAGUAUCAAAGCAGCUUCUAGCUUGCCUUUAGUGCACUUUUACAUUUUAGACCUCAGAUCAGGUGGGACUACCCGCUGAACUUAAGCAUAUCAAUAAGCGGAGGA